Molecule: long non-coding RNA, 2740 nt
Filed under: Capra hircus (goat)
Lineage: Eukaryota; Metazoa; Chordata; Mammalia; Artiodactyla; Bovidae
Description: lncRNA (ENSCHIG00000007123.1)
Source: RNAcentral
GUUUACUCAAACUCAGGUCAAUUGAGUCGAUGAUUCUAUCCAAACACCUCAUCCUCUGUUGUCCCCUUCUCCUCCCGCCCUCAGUCUUUCCCAGCAUCAGGGUCUUUUCCAAUGAGUCAGUUUUUUGCAUCAGGUGGCCAAAGUAUUAGAGUUACAGCUUCAGCAUCAGUCUUCCCAGUGAAUAUUCAGGACUGAUUUCCUUUAGGAUGGACUGGUUGGAUCUCCUUGCAAGUCCAAGGGACUCUCAAGAGUCUUCUCCAACACCACAGUUCAAAAGCAUCUAUUCUUCGGUGCUCAGCUUUCUUUAUUGUCCAACUCUCACAUCCAUACAUGACUACUGGAAAAACCCUACCUUAGUGGUACUGAAAUAUUGUUCUUUCAUUUCAUGCCUAGGAAAGAGUGUCCCCCACAUCUCUCCUUUUGGAUGUGCCAGAGAAGCCUGCAACCCCACUGCUUCUAACAGCCUUCUUGUGACUAAGGUAAAGAGUUUCAAACCUACUUAUCAAAUGGGAAGUAGAAGACUUUACUUAUUGUUGGCUAAAGGAAAUGAAAACCGUGUACACAGUUAUGAUGCUAUCUCUGUAUCCUUUUUGAUUUAGUGUUUAUCACAUUCCUAUGAAGUAAGGAUGAUUUAUUCCCAUUUUCUUGAUGAGAAAACUGAAACCUAAGAGAAUUAGAUCAUUUGUCCACACUGAUUCCUGCUGACUCCAAAUCUUGUGCUUGCUCCAUAGUCCCAGAUGGCCUCCACUCCCCUAAGCAUCCGUGACUGAGGCCCUGAAGCCAGGUUGGCUGUGACCCUUAUCUUCCUGGAGGACACAGGGGACUACCUAAGAUGGAGAUCACGUUUGGAGGAUGACUUUCGAAGAAUUCGCUUUCUCUCACAUUUCCUAUUUAUUUAGAAACAGUGUCUUGUGGGUCCCUAGUUAGAAAACACAGAUCAGAGAAUUUAGUUAAGUAGUAUUUACACUGAUUUUUUACAUUAUAUUUGGUAAAUAUUUGGUAGAUAUUUCUCCAGCAGUUUAUUCUUCAUUUUUUGUGAGAUUAUAAAUAGAUUUAAGUAUUAGUAAAGGGCUUCCCUGGUAGCUCAGUUGGUAAAGAACCCGCCUGCAAUGCAGGAGACCCUGGGUUUGAUUCCUGGGUCAGGAAAUAUCCUCUGGAGAAGGGAACAACUACCCACUGCAGUAUUCUGGCCUGGAGAAUUCAGUCCAUGGGGUCACAGAGAGUUGGACAUUUUAAUUAAUAUUAAAAUGCAAUCAUUGCUAUUUCUUAAUCUGUCAAACCAUGUGUUUUCAGAUAGAGAUUAUUGAAUUAUGGGAGCAUUUCAUCACUGGAUUAAGCAAUUUGAGAACACUUUCCAAGUGACAGUAUUGUUGGAAAAGUAAAGGAGACAAUGGGGAAAAAUAAAGAAGAGAAACUAAGCAAAGAAAAACAACCAAGGGUGGUAGCACGUAGCUUCUACACUGAGAAAUCCAUCUGAUUUUAGGCAAUAUGUUAGAAACAAAGCCUCCUCAAUUUAUGGCUUUAACCCCAGACUAAUCUGUAGCUUUGCUCGUACUCUCUUCUUGAUCUUAGAAAAUACAUGUUUCAAAAAUGCACCAAAAUGAUUCUGUAUAGCAAAAUCAUUGCUCAGGAAAACCUUCAGAAUGAAAUUAGUUUAUCUCUGUUAAAAUAUUUUGUGCUUCAUUUCCUUUAUAUAUCGCCAGGUGAUCAUUUAUUUGUUUCUGGAAUAAUCAUUUUCAAGGAAAGGUGGCACUUAAGGUAAAAAUGAAAUAUGUGAAAUUGGAAAUUACCCACAUGCCCAGUAACAUUGGAAUGGAUCAAUGUGUUUUGCUUAUACAGUGGAAUACCACAUAGCAAGUAGAAUGGAGCUCUAUAUCUACCUCCACCUAAAGGAGUGAAUCUCACAAUAGUAUGGUGAGCAAACAAAGCCAGACACUAGUGAGUCCACAGUGCAUAAUUGUGUAUGCUCCACAGUUCCAUUUUUACAAAGGCCAAAAGUUGGCAGAAUUAAUCUACACUGUAUUUUUCCAAGUCAGCGUAUGAAUUUCCCUGGGAAGGAAACGGCAACUAGGAGGAGGCACAAGAGGAGUUUCUGGACACUGCUAAUAUUCUGAUCUUUGGUUGGGGUGCUUAAUAUUAUAGGUGUGAUGGAUCUGUGAUAAUCCACUGAGCUAGGCAGUCAAAUUUUGUGCAUAUUUCUAUGUCUUUGGUUCUUCAAUUAGGUUCACUAAUAGUCCAAUCUAAAUUAGGCUCCUCUGUCCAUGGAAUUUUCCAGGUAAGAAUACUGGAAUGGGCUGCCAUUUCCUUCUCCAGAUUUAAAUAAAACAAGCCACUAUACACAUAACAAAAUUAAUGAUGGGAAGUUUAGGUAUCAAUAAGUCUUUUGAAAUUAGAUUAUCAUGAAGAUAAGAAUUAUUUUAUUUUAUUGAUUUUUACAGUGCAUUUAUUUUCAAAUUAUGUCAUCUUUAAAAUUAAAAUUUAUGUAAUGAUUUGUGCUAUCUUAUUAUAAUUAGCAGUGAUUUCUCUUAAUUGUAAAUGGUGUCUAGCUAAUGAUGUACUAGAUCUGAUGAAAUAUAGUAUUAAAAACAGUUACAUGAAAUAAGUAAAUGCCAAAAGGACAUAUUGUUACUUGUACAGAUGAAUUCACUGCUUUUAACUUAAAAAUACUACAGGAAAGUUUUAUAGCAUCUUAUAACAUUUUCACAAAAUUUGAUUGCAGGACUCAGUGUAAUUAAACCCC